GGAAGUAAAAGUCGUAAACAAGGUUUCCGUAGGUGAACCUGCGGAAGGAUCAUUCAUAAUAAGUGUUUUAUGGCACUUUUUUAAAUCCAUAUCCACCUUGUGUGCAAUGUCAGGGUUGAUUUUUCUCUCGAGAGGAUCAACCCCAAACAUCAACUAUAUCUCAACUCUUUGUCUGAAAAAUAUUAUGAAUAAAACAAUUCAAAAUACAACUUUCAACAACGGAUCUCUCGGCUCUC
RNAcentral lists this unclassified non-coding RNA (236 nucleotides) under plant metagenome. Its description in RNAcentral is "partial contains small subunit ribosomal RNA and internal transcribed spacer 1". The stretch from base 1 to 55 matches the Rfam family "Eukaryotic small subunit ribosomal RNA", at positions 1778 to 1831 of the family's 1831-position model. The record is from RNAcentral.